UACGUAGGUGGCAAGCGUUGUCCGGAAUUAUUGGGCGUAAAGCGCGCGCAGGCGGUCCAUUAAGUCCGAUGUGGAAGCCUACGGCUCAACCGUGGAGGGUCAUUAGAAACUGGGGGACAUGAGUGCAGAAGAGGAAAGUGGAAUUCCAGGUGUAGCGGUGAAAUGCGUAGAGAUGUGGAGGAACACCAGUGGCGAAGGCGACUUUCUGGUCUGUAACUGACGCUGAGGCGCGAAAGCGUGGGUAGCAAACGGG
RNAcentral lists this unclassified non-coding RNA (253 nucleotides) under uncultured Caryophanaceae bacterium. Its description in RNAcentral is "uncultured Planococcaceae bacterium contains 16S-23S intergenic spacer region". It matches the Rfam family "Bacterial small subunit ribosomal RNA", at positions 524 to 776 of the family's 1533-position model. Lineage: Bacteria; Bacillati; Bacillota; Bacilli; Caryophanales; Caryophanaceae. The record is from RNAcentral.